This 451-nucleotide ribosomal RNA is filed under the name uncultured bacterium. RNAcentral describes it as "partial 16S ribosomal RNA". It matches the Rfam family "Bacterial small subunit ribosomal RNA", at positions 339 to 795 of the family's 1533-position model. The record is from RNAcentral.
CUACGGGAGGCUGCAGUCGAGAAUCUUCCGCAAUGGGCGAAAGCCUGACGGAGCGACGCCGCGUGCGGGAUGAAGGCCUUCGGGUUGUAAACCGCUGUCAGUGGGGAGCAAAUCCGGGAAACCGGUUGAGCUAUCCGCAGAGGAAGCGCAGGCUAAGUUCGUGCCAGCAGCCGCGGUAACACGAACUGCGCGAACGUUAUUCGGAAUCAUUGGGCUUAAAGAGUUCGUAGGCGGCCUAGUAAGUCGGGUGUGAAAUCCCUCGGCUCAACCGAGGAACUGCGCCCGAUACUGUUAGGCUUGAGGGAGACAGAGGUGAGCGGAACUGAUGGUGGAGCGGUGAAAUGCGUUGAUAUCAUCAGGAACACCGGUGGCGAAAGCGGCUCACUGGGUCUCUUCUGACGCUGAGGAACGAAAGCUAGGGGAGCGAACGGGAUUAGAUACCGCCGUAGUC